This 253-nucleotide ribosomal RNA is filed under the name uncultured bacterium. RNAcentral's name for it is "partial 16S ribosomal RNA". It matches the Rfam family "Bacterial small subunit ribosomal RNA", at positions 524 to 776 of the family's 1533-position model. The record is from RNAcentral.
GACGGAGGAUGCAAGCGUUAUCCGGAAUUAUUGGGCGUAAAGCGUCCGCAGGUGGCUGUUCAAGUCUGCUGUCAAAGCGCAGAGCUUAACUCUGUACAGGCGGUGGAAACUGAAGAGCUAGAGUAUGGUAGGGGUAGAGGGAAUUCCCGGUGUAGCGGUGAAAUGCGUAGAUAUCGGGAAGAACACCGAUGGCGAAGGCAGGUCUCUGGGCAUUAACUGACGCUGAGGAGCGAAAGCAUGGGGAGCGAACAGG